Molecule: non-coding RNA, 72 nt
Organism: Ictidomys tridecemlineatus (thirteen-lined ground squirrel)
Lineage: Eukaryota; Metazoa; Chordata; Mammalia; Rodentia; Sciuridae
Source: Rfam
UGAGUUGUGGCUCAGCGGUACAGCACUUGCCUAGCAUGGAUGAGGCACUGGGUUCGAUUCUCAGCACCACAU